AAUGCCUGUUAUCAAGGUUUUCGUUGGGAAGCUAUUGGAGCGAUCAUCG
This 49-nucleotide ribosomal RNA is filed under the name Diaporthe caulivora. RNAcentral's name for it is "partial small subunit ribosomal RNA". Lineage: Eukaryota; Fungi; Ascomycota; Sordariomycetes; Diaporthales; Diaporthaceae. The record is from RNAcentral.